RNAcentral lists this long non-coding RNA (330 nucleotides) under Lathyrus oleraceus (garden pea). RNAcentral's name for it is "Pisum sativum (pea) long non-coding RNA (PSAT_LNC036418)". Lineage: Eukaryota; Viridiplantae; Streptophyta; Magnoliopsida; Fabales; Fabaceae. The record is from RNAcentral.
CAUUGUUUGGAGUUACUGCUCAAAACAGAAGCAACAAUGAACUGAAUCAGAACAAUUUACUUUGCUGAAUCUUUAUAAACUGUGAAGUAAAAUUUAGAUUUCAAUGAUCGACUUCUACUUCAGUACUAUUUGAUUAUUUGGUGGAGGAAGUGCUGAAUGUGGAAUAGAGAAAGUAUCGUCCGUGCGUUACCCACCGGAAGUGAAGAACGUGGCGGGCCGGAAUUCGCGGUGGCGGAAGAGGGUUUGCACGAGAAUAAGCAAAAGGGAAAUUAUGUCGUCUGAUACGUUUUUUUUAUGAAAACCCCCGAAUAUCUAUCAAUGUUAAAAAAU